UACGGAGGGUGCGAGCGUUGUCCGGAAUCACUGGGCGUAAAGGGCGCGUAGGUGGCGACCCAAGUCAACGGUGAAAGCUCGACGCUCAACGUCGAGUCGGCCGUCGAUACUGGGUUGCUCGAGCACUGUAGAGGCAGAUGGAAUUCCGGGUGUAGCGGUGGAAUGCGUAGAGAUCCGGAAGAACACCGGUGGCUAAGGCGGUCUGCUGGGCAGUAGCUGACACUGAGGCGCGACAGCGUGGGGAGCAAACAGG
Molecule: ribosomal RNA, 253 nt
Filed under: uncultured bacterium
Lineage: Bacteria
Description: partial 16S ribosomal RNA
Rfam family: Bacterial small subunit ribosomal RNA
Source: RNAcentral